GCGGCUCAAGAUCAGCCUCAUGAAAAUCUUAUAUUCCCUGAGGCCACGUGGAAACGCUCUUUAAUGGAACUUUAUCUGUAGCUGGUCGUGACCAAGAAACCACCGGUUUUGCUUGGUGGGCCGGAAAUGCCCGACUUAUUAAUUUAUCCGGUAAACUACUAGGAGCUAAGGCUUCAGCUCAACAACAGACUGCAAAAGAAUUGACCAAGUAAGGAACUCCAGAGCUGCAACUCGAUCAGAUCACCUCCCGUUGGGAAAAGAAGCUACUUUAAUAACUUGGUAUUCUCAAUCGCCGAAGGUGAGGGCGAGCUCCUUUACUAGUCUUAUUUCCACCGUGGGUUGAAUCCUUAGCUCAACUAGCAUCGAUCUAAGGACAAAGUCUACAUCGGUAUGUAAAGAGUAAGCUUCCUCGAAAUAACAUAACGUAUUAUAGAAGAAUGGUUUCUUCAUGAACAGCAACUGCGACUGGCUGCAGCUUCGUGCACUGCUUCGGUCGAAUUGGAUUGAUUCUCUUAUGAGAUUUCUUUGGAUUAUGCAAAUAGGAGUUCCAGCUCUUAGAUCGGGCAAUACAAUAUGUCUUUGGAACAAAAAUGUGGACUCAUAUGCGGGAUUCCCUAUCUAUGGUCAGCCUUCAGUCCUCAUAGCCUAUAAGAAAAGAAGCCCUUCCAAUACCUGAUGUACCUUUUAUCCAUUCGAGUAAAUGCAAAGACCCGGCUUCUGAUCUAAGAAAGAAGAGUCCAAUCCCGAGCAGAGUUCAUACGUGGAAGAGACGAAAGAAAGAAAAAAAGGGAAGAUCAGUUCUUCUCUUAUGUGAUUUUGGAAGAAAGACAGAUGGUGCCGGUCUGUGCCGAUUCCAUGACGGAUUCAGAAAGAAUAGAUAGACGAGAGAAGAGAAGAAAGCAGGACCCGCGAAGAGAAAGAAGACCGAUUAGCUACACAGAACUAGAAGGAAGGCUGGCGUCCAGAGGCACUACUAAGAAUAGGGACAAGGAAUGAGUCCACUUUUGAAGAUUCUUACCUCUAGGGAUCUAAUAAGCUGGUCUCCUUUGAAAGCCUAAGAAAGCGCCUUUUCCUACUACUACUAGUAGAAUGCCGUGCCGGUUUUCGUCACCUUUAUUUGAGUUUAUGAGGUGAUCUGAUCUCGCCUCUAGGAAGGUCGAAGAGAAGGUUGUUAUCACAGUCCUACGGCCGAAUACAACAAUUAGACUGCUCUGUUAGGAAGUGCUUUCUCCUAGACAGUCCCCGGUCGGUCCUUUCGCCUGGCCACCACCCACAGGGGACAAGGCCUUCUUCUCCAGUCGCGGAUUCGGAUGUAGAUGUGUCUGCUGAAAGCCUAGGUUUACUUUUUUAUAUACCCCAGGAACAUAAUUUCAUCUGGAAUGGCUUAUUAAGGUAAAGGACUUCAACCUCGCAGGGUAUCUAGUCUGAUCAUAAGACUAUCAUCAUGAGCCACUUCAGCACAUUAGGCGGGUGGGCAUAAAAGGAUUUCACGUGCGUAAGGGGAUCCCCCUUUUCGCUAUGUAGGUUCAACUACUUUUUGAUGUGGCCCCCAUCAUUCCUUCCAAAUCUAAGGAUCAUAGGGUUGAGGACCUCUUCAUACGAAUUUUUCUAUUUCCUCUUAAUCUUUCACUGUCUCUUCAAGCCUUUUAGCUGUUCCUGGACUUUUGCUAGGUUUACCCUGGAAGAAAGGUUGUUGGCAAAAGCCUGGCUUAGGUGUGAAAGGUAUUCGGUUGCCACCAGCUCUUAAGCACACCCAUUAGCAUUGACUGCAUGGGAUCGAAAGACUUCCGCUUUAGUGAACGUGUCCAUAACUUUCUCAUGGAUUCAUACACGGGAAGCCCACUCAUUUGGCAUUGUGCGGCUUCCUUAAACUAGCGCACUCAGGUGAGCAACAAGCCGUUGGUUGAACCAAUAGGGGCUCUGGCAGAAGAUAGCACCAGACACCCAAUCCCUGCAGAAGACAUCUUAGUAGGACGAAUCGGCUGUCUUUGACGUAGGCCAAGGCCAUUGCCUCUGAUAAGCCGAAUCCACUGUCUCGGCUAAACCUGUCUAACCUUUAGUCCUUCAGUCUCUCCGAGGUCCGCGCAUCGAAGCCCGCCAACGACGAAUACUCCAACCGCCCGACCAUUCCAUAUAACCCAACUCAUUAAGCCCUUAGCUUAUUAGGGGACUCCCGCGAUAGAGUUAGAACAUUCACUACUAGAAGCAUUCUCCACGUCGGUCCAUCGGUUCACCUGAGAACGAGUUCAGGCGCAUCUUCUUUUAUCCCGGCUACCGAGUGCCAUACCCUUUUUUUUAUUCUAUUAAUAAAAUGCACUAAGCAUGGCAGUGUCCCGGCUGGCCCUUUCGGGGACCACUUGAGGAGCUAUACGGGUUCUAGAGUUAGCAGCUAAAGUUCCUGUAGCUAAGGUUUUUCGAGGUCCAUCGACCUAUUAANUAGGUAGACAUCUUAAAAAGCCGGAUAGGUCCUCUCCGAACCGCUUCUCUCCUCUUGGUUGGAUUGAUUCUUUCUUUCACGUCAGCGACGAAUCUUAGGUCUAUCCUAUGUAUCCUAAACCCUCUAAGCAGAGAAAGAAUCUUCCUCGGGUCUGCAAUCUGCAAUUAACCGACAUCGGGCAACAAACCCAAGGACAACUAGGCGGGUACUAUCCCGCCGGCCAGGUGGGAAUAGUGAAAGAAAGAGAAGGGGAAGUUCACUUCGAAGAAAGAAAGAAAGCUCGCGUGUCCGUUGUUCUCCUAGCUCACAUAUCGAGCUCUUACUACUCUUAUAAUAUAAGGAGAUAUUUCUAACUUUCAUUAAGUAAGGCUUCAAAGCAAAGUCAAAGUACGGGGAGAUGCCCGAACGGUUGUAGGGAGUAGCGCAAAGUUCCUGUUCAUGCCCGAAACAAGGGACUCGUCUUCGACUUCCGAUUCCUAUGUGUUAAGUAGAAACCGUAUGUGUCAAGCAUGAUAGUAAUGAUGCGACUUGAAAGGGGCAUUUGCCCAUAGCUUUGUACCUAUUGUUAGCCUGGCUUCCACUUUUUAACUCUUUUAGGAGAACCGAUAAAAGAGAAAGAGCCCUCGCCAAAGACCGGAGAAAACACCGGAAAACAAGGCAAAAGACCGGGAUUCGGGACCUGACAUGGCCUUUUCCCUCGUAUCUGGCUCUUUACCCUGAGGCUAUUGACCCUUUGUUACGGGUCUUUGUCCCUGGAUAACCGGUAUUCAGCCCUGUACUAAGACUAUUGCCGCUUUUCCCUUGAUAACAGGUAUGGGACUUCAAUAUGCCAGUUACACUGCAGCUAUUGCUGCUCUAUGCUCCGAUCAUGAGGGACGAAUGAAGUAAGGAGCACCGAUCCUUGAGCUAAAAGCUGCUUGUGUUUUCGUCCCGUGAAUUUCUGAGCAUAGACAGAAAUCGGUGAACGGGCCUACCAUAUUGAGUUAAAGAGUUCCUGCUCCCGCCAUUCAUCUUAUGAAUGGGAUCAAGGGAGCGCCUUUGUCUUGUAGCUUUAUUUGCCGUUUCUUAGCCCCGUCCAUUCAUCCGAUGAAUGGAGAAAAGGGGCACCAUUGUUUCUUGUUCCUUAUCCGUUUUCUUUUGUCUUCGUUCUUGGCCCUGGCUCUUUGCCCUGUUAUUGUAUCUGUACCGGUUAUUACCGUUAUCCGGGUUCCCUUGACCUUACCCUAGCUCUAGCCCUUUACCUUUCCUUUACCCUUUUCUCUGUCCCUUGCCCUUUACCAAGGCUAGGAUAGGAUCCCUCCUCGAAGAGAACACUCCGACGGCGCUCUAGCGUGUUGUUGCUGUAGGAGGGCGUGAAUCUACCUACGGGCCAGACGACACCUUCACUCAAAGCAUUCAAGCAAAGAUCUCCUCUCCCGCUCCUCGCUUUUAUUCAAUUAUAAAUAAAGAACCACUUUAAUGGAAGAUUGAUUUGUAAAUGAGAAAGAAAAUAGGACUAAACUGAGAGUAAGUAGAAGAAAGAAAGAUAUUUGAAUAGAGGAACAUUAACCUAACCCUCCUAAAACUAGGAUUUGUUGAAAGUAAGGACUCGUACUUCCAAGCGUCUCCAAACUUUGGUAGAUUGUGGUUAACCAAUCCAGAUUAAAUGGGUCGGCUUCAACCAAUCGAUCUAACAAAUCUAUAGAUUGAGUUCCGCGAGGAAGUCGUAUUCCCUCCUGCUGAAAUAACGGCUUUAAUACUUGAGUAUCUAGCUGCUCUUUGAAAGUAUCAGAAAUACUUUCGUUCACUUUCUCUUGAUAGUUGUCUAGAGUUAGCGUGGGGCCUCUCAAGCGAGAGACCCUCCACAUUGCUAGCAAGGAAAUAAAAGGAGGAAGUAGGAACAGAUAUGGUGAUAAGAUGUUGAUUGCAUAGGUAACUACAAGAUCGGGUAGCAUUUAAUGUUUAAUGUAAGGUUCUUAUUAUUCUUCUCUUCUUAUUAUUCUAUAUAUUAUAAUAAACAGAACCCGAACCCAAUCUUUAAUGCAGAUUUAUAGCAUCAUUCAAGUAAAUACAGAUUAAGAUCGUAAAAACAUAAGCUUGUAAUAUAGCUACGCCUAAUUCAAGACCAGUUAAUGCAAGAACUAUAAAGAAAGGACCUGUAGACCCUAUGAAAUAAAAAAGAUCAUUCAUACAUAGCAUAGUCCAAGCGAACCCACUUAAAAUCUUUACUAAACUAUGACCGGCCAUCAUAUUAGCAAAUAAACGUAUUCCUAAGCUUAAUGCGCGAAAACAAUGAGGGAUUAGCUCAAGGAGUACUAAAAAAGGGGCUAAGGGAAGUGGGACUCCUGCGGGUAAUGAGAAGCUUAAAAAAUGAAGACCAUUCUUUGCAAAUCCCACUAUAGUAAUGCCAAUAAAAAGAGAAAAUGAGAGACCCAAAGUAACGAGAAAAUGACUUGUUACUGUGAAGCUAUAAGGUAUCAUACCCUGCAGAUUACGAAAUAACGAAAAAGUAAAAGUAACCGAGAUGCAAGGGAAAUACUUUUGUUUCACAUUGCCAGAAAGACCACCUAUUUGUUCGUUUACCAGGUUCGGCACAAAAUCAUAAAUAAGCUCUAACACGGAUUGACAAGCAUUUCCUACUAACUUUCCUCCUCCCUUUUGAGUCACUAAAUGAAAAAGAAAUAGGACAAAUGAGAGAAUUAAUAGAAGAAAGAAAGAUGCAUUUGUGAAUGAGAAAUACAACUUUCCAAUUUGAAGAGGAUAAAAGGGUACAAUGGCAAAUUGAUCAAGGGGGCUCCUUCCCCCCCCUAAUAUCUGUGUUAUAUAGACAGAUAGAGGACCACGUCUUCUGAGAUCUUGUGCAACUUGAUUCAGAAAUUCGAUUUCCCGCUCAUCUCUUUCGAUGGGGCGAUCGUCGGCCUGGUUCUUGUCUAGAGCCUCACGUUCUUCGUCAACGAAGUCUUUAAAGGCUUCUUGGGGGGGAAUUUCGGCGGCGUUUUCCGCCAAGCCAGGAUUACUUUCAACUAUUUGUUUAAAGAGGGUCGAACAUUCUGUUCUUAUUUCUCGAAUAAUUAAAUCUUUAUUCUCAAACUUUAUCCUUCUGUCAUACUCUUCUUGGUUUUGGUUUGUUGCCUCAUUUAGAGUUCUUUGUAAUUGAUUCCAAUACUCUCCUCUAGGUUUAUUGAGUAGAAAGAUUGAAUCCUUAUUUUCCAAAAUUCGAAUCCGAUUUCGCAUGGAUGAUUCGAGCCCGAGAUCCCGAGUAAUAAUGGGCCAAGGCUCUGCCAGUACCCGUAGAUCGAAUGAAUCUUCUGAUGAGGCGUGUGAUGGGCUGGAGGAAACCCCACUAGAAGCAUAUAAUAUUAUACAACCACCGAGACUGAGACUGACCCAAAACAUAAUGUAGAUCCUUAGAUGAAAAAAAAACAGGCCAAACACAAAAAAGCAAAACAUAUCAACCAAAAAAACGAGAAAGCUCGAUUUCUUAUGAAAAUGAAAAUGAAACCAAAGCCGAAAUAGAAAUAGAAAGCUUAAAAAAAGGAUUCCUAAUAUUAUGACUUCUACUUCACUUGUCCCCAUUAUAGGGGCUUUCUGCCUUGUUAUCAAAAAGGCAGUAGCGGUACCUAGCAACCUAAAUAUUAUAGGUGCCAUUUUAGAAAUCAUCACUUUCAUUCUCUUUGCUUCAUUCUUUGACUGCUCUGCUCCCCCAAUGAAGGAAGACUUGUAUUUUAGUCAAUUGCCUUGGUUUUUUCCAAGAAAGGCAUGGUAGUUGUUGGGCGUUAAGACAUCUCUGAGAAGACAUCUCUAUAUACGAGAUUUUCAAUAAGGUUUUUUGUUAUUCAAUAUCAUCGUAGAGUGAUGAUCGAGAUCACCUAAAGGGGAACACCUGCUACGGCACUAAUAAGAGCAAGACCUCGCCUAUCUUUUUAAGCUUCUUCCAUCAUACUUUCCUUCCCUUGCUUUCCUUCAUGGCCUACAAGAGGAGUCCGUUGAGGAUGAAAUCUGGACUUUACUUGAAAAGAAAGCGCUGGACUUAAGACUGGACUUCAUAUCUUGUCUUGCCAGCUCUGAAGCAGGGGGGUAAAGAGAAGUUCAGUCAGACGGCUCUAGCUAUGGCUACCCGAAGCGAAUGGCUGGCCUAUGCCGAAUACACACUAAAUGGUGAAAAGAAAGCCCCUACCACCCCGAAAUAAAAUAGAAGUUUCUAUUUUCCCAGCGCUACUAGGUGGCCGAUAAGAGACCCCUUUAAAACAAAAGAGAAGGGAGCCAAACAACUGGGGUUAUUACUUAACCCUACCAUAUGCCAUUGCCCCUCAUCAACCGAGCCCCAGCAAGCACCCAAGACAAGACAACUGGUAUUGGAAACCUAUCUUUUCUUUCUUGUGCUCUAUCAAUCGAAGAUGAAAGACGAGGAGAAAGCAUACAGGAAGCUUGCCCUCUUGGUAUAGAAACCCCCAAAAGACAGCUAAGAAAAGGGUCCUUGGCCCCUAAACCCUAAACCUUAUCUCAAUCAGGAGGCACCUCUUUCUCGCCUUUUGAAUGGCUACGACCCCCCCGGUAGUUGAAGAUUUGAUCAUCGAAAAAUCAAGCACUUCUUUUCACUUCGGGAAAAGAUUUGAUCAAACAAUUCUUUUAGCCGCCCCCGCCAAUCGAUCUUUUGACCUAGGGAGCCAAGCCUCUAUCCGGCCUAUCAAACAAAGGGUCCACACAAGUCUUUCGGGGGUUCCAUCUUUCUAUAAGAUAGCAGGUCAACUCAACAAAACUAGGCUGCUUCUUUGUUGUGCCGUCCGGUCGAUCUUAAGUCUUUCUUAAACAAACAAUCAAUGGGGGAGGAAAAGAACUGAAACAGGCUGCUUAUUAUUCUAGCUGAUCUGAGAUCUACGCAUUAUCACUCUUUGGAAAUUGGAAAUAACCUAGGAGUAUAUAUUACAAGAUUAUUCACUGCAAGCAUUGCUAUUCAUUCCUGGCUCUGGGCCAUCCUUGGGCAUUAUCCGUUGAGUGCUCUUCAAACCUGAGAUUUCAACCGAAAAAGCUCCUUAACAGGGUUCGAUAUCGCCUAAAUGAAAAAGGAAGCAGCCCUUUCUAUAUGUGCAGGCUCGCGAGAAAGUCUUUGGUCAUUAACGACCUCCUCCCCGCCCGCAAACGUUGGCCGAAAGGCUCUUAUCUUCCAUGGAUCACUAAUCCACCACUAUCCAUCCGAACUUUGACAAUAGGAGCGAAGCCUUCCCUCUCCGCCAGUACUUUCCUCUCGGGGGAACCGAUCUGAUCCGUCUCAAAAUAGAUCUCCUGGUGGUGGCGAGCGAUGAACCAGGAACGAAGUCCAAUCCAUCUUCUGAACCAACGAGUGAAUCGGUACAUAAUGUAAUCGAUUCAUCGGCGAAGAAAAGCCCAACUCCUCGAUCAAAGCUAUCCCCCUGCUGGUCCCGUUCCCAAUAGGAUCUAAUCAGCUGACGAAAACUCAUAUCUAUCUCUCUCGUCUGAUCCUGGCGCUUCGAUUUCUGCAAGCUCACCUAUUCCUUUCUCCGUUGUUCCCAUGCCCCCCAACUGUGACUCGUGGUGGCUAUGAGAUGGCUUGCUACUGAGCUUCUUGUCUUCCAUCUUUCUUUAUUUUUAUUGUGGGGUCCGCGCAACAAGAGCGCCUCCUCUUUUUUCUUUUUUUUUUUAAUUCGAAAGAGCGGGGUCUUACUUAUUCAGGGGGGAUGGAGAAAGAUUCGCAAUUGGACUAUUAUAUAUAUUAUAAAUAUAUAAAGGAUCUCCGCUCGAGUAGGUGCUUUGCUUUAGCCCAGCUCUAAUCGAUUGAAACUCUCUCUGUCUCUUUGCCCAGCUGAAUAAGUAUAAAAGACUCACUCGCUCACAUCGUUGGACUUGAGCACUAACCCCUAUUCUAUUUAUUCCCGACAGCCCGCUUUCUCAGUUCUGGUGAUUCCCCCAUUGGAAGGUUCUUUGGAGACUUUCUUCCUACAUUCACAAAUCCUUCUUUCCUUGGGCUUUCUGUUCUGCUUUAGUGUUUUUCUUCUGGUUGCUUUGCUCCCUCCUGAAAGCAGAGUAAAGGUCAGUUGAAUGCGGGGACUGGGGAAACCGAGUAAUCCAAAGGUAAAUCCCUUUCAGCUUGUCUUUCUUUUCUUGUUGUUUCUUCCCCAGCAGCAGGUUCUCGAGCAGCCAAGGCAAGAAUGCCACGAAUGGUGUUUAGCAACCUGGAGCAAAUGUUUUCCCUAUCUCUAACUCUAACUCUAAAAGGGUUCGACUCAAUAUUCUUGAAGGAAUCCUUUAGCUACUAAUCUAGCUUUCUAUCUCUCUACCGAGCCAUCUGCUUUAUGCUUGAUCUUGUAAAUCCACUUGCAGCCAAUCGCCUCUAAGCGGAAUAGAAAGAUGAUUUAAAGUCCCAGAGGUCGGGUCAAGGACGGGAUCUAGUUGCAUCUUAUAUAGUGAUCAAAGUGGCCUCGUAUAUUUUCAUUCAUAAAGGGGCGUCUCCGUUUCCGAUCUUCCAUCUCCCUUAGUGGAUCAAAUCCCCACCUCAACUUAUUCCCUUUACCAUAAAGGGGAUAUUUAGUCAUUCCUCGGCAAAGGCUAACCAAUAAAGACUUUUCUGAGUUCCUGGGUAAAGCGAAUAGACUCUCUUUUUUUCUCCGAAAGUUUUCUUUUCUCUAUCAAUUGGACUUUCCGCCUCUGCGGCUAACUUCACUCAAGGAGUGUACUUAAUGGAUUCUUCCUAAAAUCUCUUCUUCUCAUCAAUGCGAAAAUCCGGGGUUUAUGCCCCCACUUCUGGCAACUACUCUCGGUCUAAGUUAUCGCCCCAGUACCAGUACUCAUUCAUCUUUCCCCGACAUGAACUAUUGGACAAGCGUAGGUCCCAGGUACCACUAAGGCCAAGUCACUAAGCAGCAGAAAUCAGCGAUAAAAAACCGACUUCCGCAACUACAUCUCAAGCGGCAUUAAAGCUUAAACCAAUGAGUAGGAAAUCACCUAGUAAAGCCUGAACUCUCGCCGUAACCGGUCUAACCGAUCCGCCCAGUAGCUUCCCCUGGAGUCCCAGGUUUUAUGAUACGAGUUGAACGAACGCACUAAAGGACCCGGAGUGGUUGAUGAGAUUGGUUUUACGACUGGUUUUCCCGUUCUGCUGAAGAAUCUCAAUCUUUUCGGAAAAAAAAAACGAGAGUUUUAGAGGUCUUACAUGGUGUCUAUCGUGAGGUGUCCCAAAGCCUCGUUAUAACUAGUUUAGCCUCUGAGACAGGAUCGUAGUUAAGGCCUGCUUCAGAAAGACGUAAAGGAGCAAUAGAGCGAACGGGAAGAAGCGCCCCCACCUCAUGCGCAUGGAUUUACCAUUAUUAUAUAUAAAUAGAAUGCGAUAUACAUAUAUAAUAUGUGAUUGUCACAGGCAGCGUGAAAGCAUGAAAGAAGAGUUUCCACUGGUUCUGGUCUUGAAACAGGAGAUUUCAGCGGGUCAAAGCUCAGUGUCCACCGUACUAAGGUAGGUGAAGAGGUGAAGUUUACCGGGAAAUGAAGCUUCUAAAUAGACCAUGCUCUUCCACCCGUUAAUUAUCUUAGGUAAUGAUGAAAUACCUCUUCUUGAUUGAUCGAGGGGAAGCUGCAGAAAGGUUCAAUCGAUUGGUAGGCAGAGAAGCGAAGUGGUAGGAAGCUCCGAUACAGGGAAGAUUGAACUCCACGGAUUCGGAAUCGAUGUAUUCAUGGAUUUUAGACUCAACCAGGAAUGGUAGAGGCAUCUACUCCAUGAUCACAAGAAACGAAGAGAAAAAGACAAGUCAGUACACAGGGGGAAUCGAAAACUGCGCAGUUUAAUGUCCAAAACGGACCAUUUGCGCCCUUUUUUGAUGCUGUUCAAGGAGACGUAGACCCUCAACCGAAGGUUUCAGGGAGAAGUGAAAACUAGAAGAAUUGAAUGAAUGAUUUUCCGACGAUGGUCUAUUCCUUAUCAACCAUAGCUCGAACCAACCAUUGACUUUAUAUAUGUCAUUUACUUGUGUAGGAGUCGCUGAUCAAUGGAGUCGGGAGGAAAGCAGGAGAUUCAAACUUCUAUUAAGUUGCCCGAAGCGUUAGAAUAUCAGUUUCCCUUUUAGAUUAGUAUUUAGUAGUUCUAACUUAGUGCUACAGCCCUUACUUAGAAUGAGAAGCAGCAAGCAACUAAUCAUAUAGCCUUCGUGUCUUCCCCUCUGGGACUCUUCUAUUUAUUAUUUCUUAAUUAAGGCCCGAGUAAGACUACAUUCAAUUACUAAUUAUGCAGAUGCCUAUUUCGAACUCUUAGCCGGUAGGAAAGUCAAGUAAGAAAGAAAUCCCUGCAGCCAUAUCUUAAGUCAAGGAAGAGCGGACUUUAAGCUCUUUUUGUAGUCCUUAUCUUUACAACUUCGUCUAAAGGUGCUAACUGUGAUCUCAUUUUCGUUUCAAACCUACUUUGUGAUGGCAUCAGGAAGAUUACAUGAUGAGAAGAUUCGGCCGGCCUAUUUCGGUCAAUAGAACAACAUCUAGCUAAUAGAGCUCAUCCAAUCUCUUCCCCUGGGAAUUUCCUAAAGAAUCAGACUAAAGAAAAGCCAUAAAAGGUAAUCUUCUCCUAAGGAUCUUCCCGUCUCUUGUUCUUCUAUUCUUUCGUGUGAUGAAUGAAACUAAUGAAGUAGGCUCGUGGAAAACAAAAUCUCAUUAGAUUGAGUUACGCGUCCUUCCUGAUAGAGAGAAGAGAAGUAAUUCGAUUUAGUGAAUUCCCGUCAGGUGAAAUAGGACUGAAGUCAGACUGUAAGGCAGAAGCACUAGCCUCAAACCUAUUCGCUCCUAUCCAACAACGUAUUAUUUUAUUUCUUAUGGACCGCCUAGAAGCACUGAUAAGAAUAGCUCUGGCCUGGAGAUCGUUCGCUCCUUAGUAAGGGUAGGUUAACUACUAGUCCUCAGUUAUAACUGGCAGUCCUAUUAUUUUAUUCCUGUUAGCUCUCUUUUCCCGGGAGAAGGUAUCCUUAUCCCCUAGGUGGCAGAGCAGCCUUUAGAGUCGAGUCUUCAAGAACCAUUAGCGUAGUUUCAAUAAUCUCUUGUUGAAGAAGCUGGUAGAGAGUGAUGCCUUCUAGUCAAGACAUAAGUGAAAUGGGAAGGGUUUAUGAAAGGCAUUUUUUUAGUAAUAAAUAAAGCAUAGGAUCCAAGACUGAUCCGAGAAUUUGAGAGAUCGAAGAAUAGCCUUUUUAGCAUUCCUAGUUAAAGAGAAAGGUAGUCAAAGUAAAAGAAAAAGGGUUUGACCAUUUCAGGUCGUAGAUAUCAGGUCACCUAACAGUGUCUUAGAUUUUUUGCCUUUACCUUUCGGGUCUCACUAAUCCCAGUUGGAAAAAAGCAAUAGGAAUCCGCGCCAUUGGUACCAUUCCUGCUUCUCUUGUUCCGGAAAAGAGGUUUUUCACAAAGAUUGAUUGGAAGACCCGAAUUCCCCAAUCGUUGUUUGAACUAGCUAUGCGCUAAAGAAGCCCUCCCUAACCUAUAGCAAGAGUAGUGCUACUAAGCGAAGGCGAUUUGUGAAGAGCCCUUUGAAUAAGAUCUCUUUCUAUUACGAAAUUUAGAAGUUCGCUUCUAGGUCGAUUCGUACCGUCUUUCCUAAAGGUCAUGCGGGACUACUAGCCUUCUUUACUCUCUUUAUAUCCCUUCUUAUUAACUUAUUAAGAAAGCAUAAAGUGAAGAAAGAGUCUAUUUUCCAGUCCUUAUUUGAUUUUGAAUAUCUAUCAUUCUUGAGACUGCCUAUUCCUUAUAUCUAAAAAAUCAGAAUUGGUAAUCCUUAAAUACUUAUGAAAACGGUUAGUAUGCUUAAAUGACUUCCUGAGCGGAUUGGCUAUGCGGGUGCCCCUCGAUACAAAGGAAUUGACCCCGGUAAGGUAAUAGGACAAUUUAUCAAUCUCCUACAAAGACGAUCGGGAAUGGGGAUAGACUGAUUAACCUACCCUUGGAGAGCUGCGAAUCCUUAGAUUGCUACUAACUAGACUAACAGAUAGAAUGAAGAGAGUGCUGGACUUACAUACGUUAGACCUUUAGGAAAUAACGUAUGUAAUAUGCCUACAGGCCGAAUCGAAUCUAGAAUGAAAAGAAGCGGGUGUACCGAUCCCAGAAAGCAAGAAGUAAGCUUUGGCGUAAAGGUUGAAGCUCAUAGGCAGUAACCUAAGUUCUAAGAAGCUCCAAUCAUGCUGCUAUGCUUAACAUAUGCAAAUCAAACGAUCGGAAACAAUUUGCAAUUUCGUAAGUAAGUCAGUGAACUUUUUCCCAUGCUUUCCGUUGUUGACCAACCACAACUCUAAAAAACUUCGACACAAGAGAAGAGGACCGGGCGCUUGUAUCUUCGGGAUACGAGUUGGCGGUCUUCUUUAAGAUAACUUAAAUAAGACUCGUUUUAUGGUAUGGAGCAACUCAUUGCUGAUUUCGUUUCUAGGAUGGGUUUGGCUCUGCCUGUGGCUAUUCUUGUAGCCGUUAGGGCUGGCCGAAUGAUCCAUCAAAUGAAUAGUCUUCAUAUAGAACCCCAAAUUACGGAAGUAACGAGGGGUGUUCUUAAAGACAAAAUAGUGGAUCAACUCUCAAUUCUUUUGAGAGUCUAUAAAGAUACAACUGAGGGUGUAAGCUUACCAACAGGAGUAAAUCUCCAAGAGGUAGCCGAACAUCUUUUGUUUGUAGACCAAAGAGUGAACCUUCUACACAAUAUUUAUUUCUUUUGAUCUUGUUUCUCAGGGAACACAAAGUGAAUACUUUAUCCAAGUUAUACAAUUACUUGGAGGGUAAUCAGUCUUUUUUUCGCGACAAGAGCGGUUAUGUAGCAUCAACAGGAAAGUGAUUUGGCAGUUGCUUUAGCAGCUCCUUCUCUAAGACCGUCUUCAAUAGCAGCGCUUAUUCCAACAAGACCAGCAAGAGCGGAUGCUCACCUAAGAGCAGAAAUGCCGACAUCUUUCCACGUUCAAGCAGCUAAUCAGUAAACGACUUCUCCGUCACUUCUUCUUAUAACCUUCGUGCCCCAUAGCUGCCAUAGUUAGAUAUGAAAGUUAUCCCUCUUAUCCCCUAUGCCCCUUUGUUUUUGUUAGAGAAUUAGACUUAACGGUAAAUCAGUCAAGACUUCCUUACUAAGCUUUCAGUAAAGUGUAAGGUAGGCUAGGCCUUCCCCAUAAAAGAUCUCUCCUCUUCCGGUGUCAACGCCACUCUCGCGGGGUAUAAGGAGAAAUUUCGUUCUCAUGGCCCAUGUCGAAGGGAAUAGAAUGACAUAGGUCUCUGCCGAUGCUGCUAAGCGCAGGGUUUUCAUUAAAUUCAUAGAUCUUAUUAGCUUCUUCAAUAGAUAAGAGAUCUAUCAUGCUUAUUCGGAAACGUAAGGUUUAAGGAUUUAUCCUCCUUCUGCUCUUGGCUUCGUCCUUUAGUGAUAAAUAUCGCUUUCGACUUGGAGCGGCUCACCCCCCUUGUCACUUAAGGGGAAAGCCCAACCUCUUUGUUUGAAUCGCGAUCUAUGGCAAUUUGACUUUGACUGAAACAGAAGUUGAAAGUCAGGUAAAAAAUCUUCAUCCUGCUAAUCCGGCCAUUUCCGAAGACACCAGCUGUAGUAGCUGUUCUCUUCCCUUCCCCGAAAAUCAAAUUUCUUGAUACCCUGACCGAUCGACAGGAGCGAGGAAAAAACCUUCAUGCCAUUGACUACUUUACUAAGUGAGGGAGAACGGAGAUUGUUGACGAUUUUAAACCUCCCCAGCAGCUUUGUCCUUCUAUCCAUCAAUUGCAGUAAGAGUGGAAGACAAGUCGAGUCUAUUCUGCCCUAUCGUUCUAUGUAGUAUGAAAAUAAGUCCCCAACAAGCAAGGGAUUGAGCGUUAGCGAAAGCCGUUGCUUGUUUGAUGGAAUUUGUUGCUCUUCGCUGCAUUAUACGCCAAUCCGAACUCAAAAAUUCGUCGCCAAGGGAGUCUAUGCCGAACUUCGCUGACUCACAUACUCUACCUUGGUUGGUUCUUCAUCGGAAAAAACAGAGGGUUUGCCGGUUUCACAGAGGAGAUGUGCUGAGUUUCANAGGUCCCAAUCUUUAUUUUUGAUUUCGUUCUCGAAGGAGUUAUGGCGCCCAGCGGGUAUCCACUUUUGAGAAGGCUAAUGAUUUCCCAUUGGCGAUUGCCCCUCGCCCCGGGUAUUGAUCCGCGACGAUAGAGUCUGCAAGCACUGCGGUUGACUACUUGGAUUUCCUUCUUCAGUGUCUCGACCCCCUCCCUACUUACUAAUACAGGGUGCAAACACUUGGCUACUUCGUCUUGGGAAAGACGAUGCAACCUUCUUUGUGAGUCUGAACUCUUCCUUUAAAGAAUGCUUUCGCAGCCGGUUCAGCCCUAUGCGGUUUAGCUCAUGCACCGCUUGCCACUUCCACUUGUUGAGUUAGCUCUCUUCUAUUUACUCCCUCAUUUAUCCUCUAAUCACUAUAGAAUGACCUGACUUCGAAGGUGCCAUGCCAUCCCUAUGCUAUGCUAUGCUCCCCCGGCGCAGGCCUACCACGCUUCGCGCCUGCGGCGUUUUCGCCAGACGGUCUUUGCCAGUAGUGCCAUCCUCCCCGCUGGCUGUAUGGGCGGGUUGUCCCUCGCUGACGUCAUCCUGGAUUUUCUUUUCGUAUGCCGGGGAAAGUACCUCACCUUUAUACAAUACAUGAAUUUGGAUUCCAAUUUCCUCCUCGGGUCUCUAUAAAACAGAAUGAAAAGCCCGGGUGGAAGCACAACACAAAAGUAGAACGGGGGGUAGGCCUUGGUUAAAGUGAAAUAAAAGGCAAGGAAAGGAUGAAAGGGGGCUUUCAAACUCUUGUUUAAGAGCUUAAACAGGGCUCAAUCCGGACUACUUCAUGUAGCCCGGACCAAGAACUCAAUCAGCUCAAGGCACUCGUGACAACGAGGGCUUCCCUCUGUCUUCCUCCUAAUCCUAGGUAGAAGGACCAAAUGCUAGAUUUCACUCUUAGCUUGGCCAAUCUACCUAUACCUAGGACCAGUGUGGAUUCGUCGGUCAGCAUAGAGAUAGGAUACUUCUAGCGAAGCUGUCUCUAUCUCCGGUGUAGUUGACAGGCUUCGGGUAUUUAGAAAAGGGAGAGCAGUCAAGCUAAAGCAUUAUGAUCAGACGGGAAAGAUGUACAACAACUAAAGAGGUAGAACAGUGGUUAGGGCAAAAAAAUGUCCUAAUGUUCUACCUCUACUCUAAAUAGGUUUUUCCUGGUCCUUUCGAACCAGUCUUUCUAAACCUGGAAAAG
This 15618-nucleotide long non-coding RNA is filed under the name Salvia miltiorrhiza (redroot sage). Its description in RNAcentral is "long non-coding RNA (SMIL_LNC002029)". The record is from RNAcentral. Lineage: Eukaryota; Viridiplantae; Streptophyta; Magnoliopsida; Lamiales; Lamiaceae.